GAUGAACGCUAGCGGCAGGCUUAAUACAUGCAAGUCGAGGGGCAGCACAGGUAGCAAUACUGGGUGGCGACCGGCAAACGGGUGCGGAACACGUACGCAACCUUCCCAUAACUGGUGAAUAGCCUUCCGAAAGGGAGAUUAAUACACCGUAACAUAAUGAAGUGGCAUCACUUUAUUAUUAUAGCUUCGGCGGUUUUGGAUGGGCGUGCGGCUGAUUAGGUAGUUGGCGGGGUAACGGCCCACCAAGCCUCCGAUCAGUAACUGGUGUGAGAGCACGACCAGUCACACGGGCACUGAGACACGGGCCCGACUCCUACGGGUGGCAG
This 326-nucleotide ribosomal RNA is filed under the name uncultured Bacteroidota bacterium. Its description in RNAcentral is "bacterial SSU rRNA". It matches the Rfam family "Bacterial small subunit ribosomal RNA", at positions 28 to 351 of the family's 1533-position model. Lineage: Bacteria; Pseudomonadati; Bacteroidota. The record is from RNAcentral.